This 73-nucleotide transfer RNA is filed under the name Lachnospiraceae bacterium. RNAcentral's name for it is "tRNA-Lys". It matches the Rfam family "tRNA". From Rfam's summary of the family: Transfer RNA (tRNA) molecules are approximately 80 nucleotides in length. RNAcentral also lists the same sequence under 1 other name. Lineage: Bacteria; Bacillati; Bacillota; Clostridia; Lachnospirales; Lachnospiraceae. The record is from RNAcentral.
GCUCCAUUAGCUCAGAUGGGAGAGCACUCGACUUUUAAUCAAGUGGACAUGGGUCCGAGUCCCAUAUGGAGAA